UGUGUGGCAAUGAUGAGUUGCACUUUAUGGCAAGUCGCUGAUUGCAGUGGCACAGCAGACUUGUCCAGACAACCUGUGAUGACACCCACUGUGCACAGGGGCCAUCUGAGCCACA
Cynoglossus semilaevis (tongue sole) is the source of this 115-nucleotide small nucleolar RNA. Ensembl annotates it as small nucleolar RNA SNORD67. The record is from Ensembl. NCBI's taxonomy places the organism in Eukaryota, Metazoa, Chordata, Actinopteri, Pleuronectiformes, Cynoglossidae.